UACGAAGGGGGCUAGCGUUGCUCGGAAUCACUGGGCGUAAAGCGCACGUAGGCGGCUUUUUAAGUCAGAGGUGAAAUCCUGGAGCUCAACUCCAGAACUGCCUUUGAUACUGAAGAUCUCGAGUCCGGGAGAGGUGAGUGGAACUGCGAGUGUAGAGGUGAAAUUCGUAGAUAUUCGCAAGAACACCAGUGGCGAAGGCGGCUCACUGGCCCGGUACUGACGCUGAGGCACGAAAGCGUGGGGAGCAAACAGG
RNAcentral lists this ribosomal RNA (253 nucleotides) under uncultured bacterium. RNAcentral's name for it is "partial 16S ribosomal RNA". It matches the Rfam family "Bacterial small subunit ribosomal RNA", at positions 524 to 776 of the family's 1533-position model. The record is from RNAcentral.